UUUUUUUUUAACUAACGAAUUUGGACAUUCCUAUGGUAUCUGCAUCCAUAAUGUUACACAGAAGGAAUGUCUAUACCAGGUCAGGAAUAUGAUAGUUGUUUUCUAUUCUAUGAUAGUUGUUUUCUGUUCGUUAGAUGUGAGCUUUUCACUUUACGAAGUUAUAAUCGUUUUGAAUUACCUUGGAGUCUGGUAAUAUUGAUAUUUUACUUUUUUCGCCCUUUUUGUAAAGCUGUAUAAUCUCUUGAACAUAAAUGUGUUCGAUUACAAUUUAAUUUUGUCGACAGGUUGUUAGUAUUUCUGCUGCCACUAAUUACAUCACUCUAAUAGCAGGCUUGCCCCUGUGUUGUAUUGAAACACAUCAUGUUUAUCGUACACUUU
This 378-nucleotide long non-coding RNA is filed under the name Mytilus galloprovincialis (Mediterranean mussel). The record is from RNAcentral. Lineage: Eukaryota; Metazoa; Mollusca; Bivalvia; Mytilida; Mytilidae.